RNAcentral lists this ribosomal RNA (491 nucleotides) under uncultured bacterium. Its description in RNAcentral is "partial 16S ribosomal RNA". It matches the Rfam family "Bacterial small subunit ribosomal RNA", at positions 29 to 507 of the family's 1533-position model. The record is from RNAcentral.
AGUGAACGCUGGCGGUAGGCCUAACACAUGCAAGUCGAACGGCAGCACAGUAAGAGCUUGCUCUUACGGGUGGCGAGUGGCGGACGGGUGAGGAAUACAUCGCAAUCUACUUUUUCGUGGGGGAUAACGUAGGGAAACUUACGCUAAUACCGCAUACGACCUACGGGUGAAAUCAGGGGAUCUUCGGACCUUUCGCGAUUGAAUGAGCCGAUGUCGCAUUAGCUAGUUGCGGGGUAAAGGCCCACCAAGGCGACGAUCCGUAGCUGGUCUGAGAGGAUGAUCAGCCACACUGGAACUGAAACACGGUCCAGACUCCUACGGGAGGCAGCAGUGGGGAAUAUUGGGCAAUGGGCGCAAGCCUGAUCCAGCCAUGCCGCGUGGGUGAAGAAGGCCUUCGGGUUGUAAAGCCCUUUUGUUGGGAAAGAAAAGCAGCAGGUUAAUACCCCGCUGUUCUGACGGUACCCAAAGAAUAAGCACCGGCUAACUUCGUG